This is a long non-coding RNA of Dermochelys coriacea (leatherback sea turtle), 2749 nucleotides long. RefSeq lists it as uncharacterized. The transcript is spliced from 3 exons. The record is from RefSeq and is a predicted model, not a curated record. NCBI's taxonomy places the organism in Eukaryota, Metazoa, Chordata, Testudines, Dermochelyidae.
CUGGCAUCAAAUGACCACACAGAAGAUAGUGCUAGAAAUGCCAGGAUGGCUUACUUAGUGCUGAUGGAAGACACUGCCUGGUAUAACGCCCAUCAGUCAAUGGGAGUGAAUGAGCGUUGCGAGCAAGCUUGAUUAGUGCUUGGUGUAGUGGGAUAAGAGGGCGCGAUGAGUUUGUCACGUUUCCUACAGCGCUCAGCUGCACCUGACUUCAUUGGCACGUUUCUGCCCGUCACCCUCAAAACCGUCUUUCACGACUUCGUUUCUCAAAGAAGUUCUCAGCAUCCUGGCUGAGCAGGUCCCUUCAGUUCAUUUGUGUCCUCGGAAAGCAAGAUUAAAGGGGAAAGUCGCCGCUGUAUAUUUAUGUUUUCAUUGCUAGAAGGGAACUGAUUUCCUUGCAUUUAGUUCUGUAGCUGUAAUACACAAGGGCGGAUUUGCGUCACCAGAGCAACUUGCUGGUCGAGAUAAAGUUGCACAAAUAUUGAAAAGGGAAGUGCUCGCGCUCAUUAUAAAGUUUUUCGCCGGAAGAAAUAAGGAUUUCUGCUGUAUCCGAAAAUACUAACGCCGCUUCUAUUUUUGGUACAAAUCUCGCAGGCAUAUCCGCUCAUUUAGUCCGAGUUGGAGCCUAUCAAAAACAGGAGAUGACCUGAACUUCAGUGAGUCCUGAGCUUCCUGCAGCCUUCUUGCUCGUAUGCAAGAGAAGGAGGGAUUGUGCCCCCCCCUCCCCCGGACAUGGGUUUCUAAAUAUACUCGCUGCUUUCCAGACGUCCAGGGAGGGGAGACGGGAAACAAAAUUAGGGAGUGGUGGGAGGAAGCUGAGAUGAGUGGUUGAAACCAGACCAAUGGAGGAGGGGAGGGAUCGGGCCCCAAGUCAAGUGAAAGAAACUGCAGACUCUUAACCUCAUGCCUGAGUUAGCUCUAGAGGGAAGCGUCGAUUAUCAUGGAGUGCUGCUGCCAGCCAGACCAAUGCAUUUUAGAAAAGAAGAAACAACUAUACCUCUUGUUACACUUCCAAACAAUGUCCAGGUAUGGAGAUACCUCUUAGAAGUGUUGUUCUCUGCUCACCUCAGUGAUGCGUCCCCUACUUCGCAUGAGGAGAGAAAGGGUUUCUCUUUUCUAGACACUCACUUUUUGCCACUCUUAAAGCCCAACCGUAGUUCUGAUCGUACAUAUUCGGCACUUGAUCGCGGCGCACAGUUAUAAAACACAACCUUUGCCAUUCGCAUCCUAGGACUUCCUUGGUAAACGUUUACUAAAUGUGUGUGUUUGAUAAAUACUAGAGCUGCAGCUCUGUCGUAAAGUUGCCUUGGGAUAUUUCGCUUUGAACAGGUCUUUCAAUGAACAGGUUUCCCAGGAUUCCCCCCUUCCUCCCAGAUUAGUUCAUUUAGAAAUGAACAUUGUCAUUUUAUUACUAUGCUUCUUGAUAAAGUGCCCUAUCUGUAGAUCAGAAUCAAAGGGAAUCAUUACCAAGUGGCAAAAAGUAACUGUGUCCAGAAAAGAAAACCCCCGUUCUCUGCUGCUUGCUCUAAAGUAGGUCGAGCAGCCGUGAGAUGAACAGAGAACUUUUUACGAGACACUGUCAUGUACAUGGCUGGGAUCCUACUGAAGAAACACACCUUAUCCUCUUCUAAAAUAGAUUGACAACAUUUUUUCGUCUGGCUGAAAAGAACACACUUGCUUUAAAGGCAUCUGACAAGGAGACAUGGAUGGGAUUUUGCCUCUACCCGGCAAAUCUUUACAUUUUAAAAAAUAUGAAAUGUUGAAAUCUAAUUUUCCGUUCCCCAAAUACCCUUAGUUUCCGGAUAUAUCUUUACAAUUCAUCAUGUUUCUAUUAUUUUGCUUAGUCCCAUUAAAAUAAAUGCUGAGAUGUCUUCUAUAAUGAGGUGUGUAUGCGUACAUGGAUUCCCAUAAGCUAUUUAUGUUGGCACUUGGCUGAGAAAUACAACAAUCUAAGGUUACAGGUGAUUUCAUUUUUUUCACUACUACAUUGGACGUGAAGAAAGAAAGAGAAAUGUUUGAAAUUGUUGCUUUCCACCGAAAACUCUCGGAAUUUUGCAAACGAUUUCAAUUUUUUAAAACGAACAAACAACCAAACAACCUGGCUGCUGAAAAUUAAAUGCAUAAGAACUGUUAAAAAUUCCUUGUAUAUGAAGAUACUGUAAAAAAUAAAAUAUCUUCCCCCAGAUGGAGAUUUGGAUAUUAAACACAUCAGUUGCGUUGAAACCUUGUUAGUAAAGUCCUGAAGAAAAUGUAGUUACUUAUUUUCCCUCUCCUAAAUAUUUGUUUUAUUUGGUUUGCUGUACUUACAAGACACUCACCGAGUCUUUACGGUGAAUUUACAAAGCAAACAGAAAAGUGUAAGCACAUUCUUGACAAAAGUAUGCAGUAAAAAUGUAGUUAGUACCAUUGUCUCCGAGACUUGUCGCUAUUAUUUAUACGAAGCCCAGAGCCAACAGAGCCGUGUUCACGUAAGUACCUACACUGCACUUUCUAUUAAAUCUACACUCUGUUACAGACCGGCCAAGUCUCACUUGUUUGGAAGGACACGUCUUUAAUUUGAAACUAUUUUAAGGCAAGUGUUCGCUCUCGUUGUGAAGGAUUUGACUGUGUGUUUGAAUGAAACGUUUUGCAAUCAUAACUGGUAAUUAAGGCAUACCUCUAAGUCAAUCUGUUACAGCUUGACCGUCCUGUGUGUAGACUAAUAGAGCAGAAUUUAGGGAGGAAGUGAGGGAGAAGAGGGCAGCACUAGACA